CAGCCGUCAGCUCUAGCAAUGAGGCCCUGACAGUCUUCUCCUUCCGGUCUUUUCAACUUCAACCGCGAGAGCGAGACACAGCUAUCUACUGCGAGAGCGCUGGAGAGGAGAAAAUUUCCGUGUACAAAUAAGAAAAAGGAAAAAAAACACCGAAUCGCCUUAUCAGCCGUGAGUCUGGAGCAGAGCGACGAGGCGAAUCACGUCGGUUAGCUUGUUACUGCACCUUGUGAGCUGCGGAAAGCGCCAAAAUCAACACGCUCAGCUUUGAAACCGGAGCAACGGUCAGGUUUUUGGAGUGGACUACAAAUCCUGUGGACUGGACGAGAUCCCGAUGGCGAGCCAAAGGACCUUGGAAGAGAGAUAAACAUUAGAACACUCCCACAUACAUUCACGUCGAACUAUCAGACUUAAAUCAGGUGCACCUGCAACAAUUCAUAAGGGCCCCAACGAACAAUCCUCAGACAAUUCUUUCCUGUGUGCACACAUUUUUUUUAUUUUUUCCUUUUCUCCGGGGGGGUUAUUAAAUUGUAUGUUUUACUUGUUGGCCUGUAGGCCUAGUUCUGUAAACAAUACAUGAGUCACUACUCAACAGUUAACCCUGCAUCAGCCAUUAUUGUUGCUCAAAUCCUUGGCUCCAACCGAAUCUAAACCUUCUGGUGCUUGUCGUUGUCCUGUUAUCAUACUGCUACAGUGUGAUCAA
Molecule: long non-coding RNA, 700 nt
Organism: Melanotaenia boesemani (Boeseman's rainbowfish)
Lineage: Eukaryota; Metazoa; Chordata; Actinopteri; Atheriniformes; Melanotaeniidae
Exons: 3
Source: RefSeq, a predicted model, not a curated record